RNAcentral lists this ribosomal RNA (505 nucleotides) under uncultured bacterium. RNAcentral's name for it is "bacterial SSU rRNA". It matches the Rfam family "Bacterial small subunit ribosomal RNA", at positions 501 to 1004 of the family's 1533-position model. The record is from RNAcentral.
CUACGUGCCAGCAGCCGCGGUAAUACGUAGGUCCCGAGCGUUGUCCGGAUUUAUUGGGCGUAAAGCGAGCGCAGGCGGUUUGAUAAGUCUGAAGUUAAAGGCUGUGGCUCAACCAUAGUUCGCUUUGGAAACUGUCAAACUUGAGUGCAGAAGGGGAGAGUGGAAUUCCAUGUGUAGCGGUGAAAUGCGUAGAUAUAUGAAGGAACACCGGUGGCGAAAGCGGCUCUCUGGUCUGUAACUGACGCUGAGGCUCGAAAGCGUGGGGAGCGAACAGGAUUAGAUACCCUGGUAGUCCACGCCGUAAACGAUGAGUGCUAGGUGUUGGAUCCUUUCCGGGAUUCAGUGCCGCAGCUAACGCAUUAAGCACUCCGCCUGGGGAGUACGACCGCAAGGUUGAAACUCAAAGGAAUUGACGGGGGCCCGCACAAGCGGUGGAGCAUGUGGUUUAAUUCGAAGCAACGCGAAGAACCUUACCAGGUCUUGACAUCCCGAUGCUAUUUCUAGA